RNAcentral lists this transfer RNA (66 nucleotides) under Curculionoidea sp. 29 KM-2017. Its description in RNAcentral is "tRNA-Phe". The record is from RNAcentral. Lineage: Eukaryota; Metazoa; Arthropoda; Insecta; Coleoptera.
ACUUAAAUAGCUUAAAUUUAAAGCAUAAUAUUGAAGAUAUUAAUAUAAUUAUAUAAUUUUUAAGUA